Molecule: ribosomal RNA, 200 nt
Filed under: uncultured bacterium
Lineage: Bacteria
Description: partial 16S ribosomal RNA
Rfam family: Bacterial small subunit ribosomal RNA
Source: RNAcentral
UACAGAGGGUGCGAACGUUGCUCGGAAUCACUGGGCGUAAAGCGCGUGUAGGCUGACAGGCAAGUCAGGUGUGAAAUCCCUGAGCUCAACUCAGGAACUGCAUCUGAAACUGCCUGUCUGGAGUGUCGGAGAGGGAAGCGGAAUUCCGGGUGUAGAGGUGAAAUUCGUAGAUAUCCGGAGGAACACCAGUGGCGAAGGCG